Gossypium arboreum is the source of this 143-nucleotide non-coding RNA. The record is from Rfam. Lineage: Eukaryota; Viridiplantae; Streptophyta; Magnoliopsida; Malvales; Malvaceae.
UUUUAAUAAUUUCAUCCAUUUCUACUGUUAAAAAUUGGCAUGCCUGACAAAAUAACUAGUCAAUUACAUGUGGCAUGCCAUGUGUAGCUCAUUUUGACAUACAAGGCCAGUUUUAACAAUAGAGAUGGGUAAAAUUUUUAUCA